RNAcentral lists this ribosomal RNA (327 nucleotides) under Triticum aestivum (bread wheat). RNAcentral describes it as "partial small subunit ribosomal RNA". Lineage: Eukaryota; Viridiplantae; Streptophyta; Magnoliopsida; Poales; Poaceae. The record is from RNAcentral.
AUGUACGUCUCUAAUUUCUCCCUCCAAAUGUGUUGGCCCAUGUGGUUGCAUUUUCUAUUUUUUUUCGUUUUGGAUAUACAAAAAAGGUUAUUGAAGCUCAAAUGUGAUAAGCACAUAAGUUCAGAUUUCCAAUGCUACAAAGUUCACGUAUACCUCUCUGUUUUAAUCGUGGCAUACAAAUUUUGCACUACGAGAAAGUUCAGAGGCAAGAGCGUAGAAAAUAAAGAACACAAAAAUAUCAACAAAAAAUUCACUAGGAGAAAAGUUAGUCAGGAUAUGCAAGAAAAACUCUUAUUUUAUUUCAUUUCAAAUUCAAAUUCUAGUUAA